RNAcentral lists this long non-coding RNA (3921 nucleotides) under Ananas comosus (pineapple). RNAcentral describes it as "long non-coding RNA (ACOM_LNC029467)". Lineage: Eukaryota; Viridiplantae; Streptophyta; Magnoliopsida; Poales; Bromeliaceae. The record is from RNAcentral.
AAAUUUUCGAAUCGAUGAUCGGCUCCGUUAGACUUGAUCUAGGGUAUAUGAAGUUUCUAGAAAAUAAUUUUUGCGAUUUUUUGAUAUCAUUUAUCUAGUGAUCGAAAGAAUUCAAAAUCCAUAAUUUUUAAUGAUUGAUAUCUGCCGUUUUCAAGUUUAACGGUGUAAAAGUAUUCAAAUCAGAUGAAAUUUUGAUAUAAAAUUUUUUAUACUAUUUACAACAAGAUCAAUAUUUCUGAUCGAAAAAUUUAGUGCUAUAUCACCACUUUUUAUAGAAUUUUUAUUUUCAGCCGUUAAAAAUUAUUGAUUUUGAAUCCUUUCGAUUGCUAGAUAAAUGAUAUCGAAAAAUCACAAAAAUUAUUUUUUAGAAACUUCAAAUACGCUAGAUCAUGUCUAACGGAGCCGAUCAUCGAUUCGGAAAUUCCAUCAUAAAAAACGGCUCAAGAGCACGGAGGCCUCUGUGCUCCUGAGAGCACAGGAGUCCUGCUCUAUAUAUAUAUAUAGAGUUGAGCUAGAAUACUCUCAAAAGCACCAUGGGGGUGGUGCUUUUGAGUUUUUAGCCAUUGGAUGGAGAGAUGUGAGGUUGAGAUGAUGGUGGUAGGUGGUGGUAGGUGGUGGUAGGUGGAAUAGUGUUUGAUCCAAGGGCUAUUAGUAAUCAACAAGUAGAUUCAAUAGCUAAAAACCUAAUAGCACCAUGGGGNUCCCGCGUGUCAUUUCCGCCGACCCCAGUCGUCCCUAUGGGUUGCCGGCCGCCGCCUUGCUUCGUGCGGCUGCCCAGCACAGAUUCGGGCCGAGGCCUGCGCAGCCUCUGGUCCUCGCAUCACCGUUGCCUUCGAGCACCUAGGCCGCCCUCCCUCGGCCUCAGGUGACAUGCCGCCGUCGCCCCGGUGCACCUCUGGCCACCGCAGGGCCGCCGCUGCUUCCCUGGGCCCGAGCCAAGCCCGUGCGGGCUCGGGUUGCUCCUGAGCCGCCGUCAUCGCCCUCCGUCGCCGACCGACCUGAGCGCCGGCCUCUUCUGGUCGGCUUCACCCGUCCGCCGCCGGCUAACCCGCCGCCAGAGCUCCCUAUCAACCGAGGUGAGCCCAUGCUCUCCUCGGGUUGUACAGCUAGGGCAUCGUUGCCCGCCGUCGUCGUCGCCGCCUCCCGUCGCCUACUGACGCGAGCCCCGGCCCCCUCUGACCUGGCGCAGCUGCCGCUGGCCGGCCUCCCCGCAUUCCGGCUGCCGCCGGCCACCCUCGAGUCAUGUCUUGCUCCGGUCCAGUUGACGUUCUUUUGCAGUCAGGAGACAGGCGCAAUAUCCUUACAGGUGGGUACUUCGAUCCGACGUUGGUACAGUGGUGCACGCUCGGUGAUGGUUUCUUACCCUUGCUCUUUUGUUAUUAUCCAUGCAUAUACUAUAUGUUGAGCUUUGCAUCUCUAUUGUUCCAUUAUACUCUACUCAGAUGAUUCCAUGCUUAGUAUCACGUGUAGGAGUAGAGUAGUUUAUCGAUAUGUGAUACCUAUGACUCGAUUGGUCAAUUCUCAUUUUUCAUAUUCUGACCUAGUUGGUCGGUUCCGGUAUCUAGUACUGUGAUCUGUUCAGUUGGUUUCUUGACUUCUGUGGUUCGAUGACCGUUGAGGUUGGUAUACCCUGAGGGGUGGGAUUGUCGAUUAGUUGCCGACGGAUGAUUAUAGUUUACUCAUAUCCAUCGUUUGACGUGUCUGUGACCUAGUCGGUCAGUGCAUUGUAUCUGUUUUCAUGACCUGAUUGGUCGGUGGUUGUAUCUCGUAUUGGUUCCUUGACUUCUGUCGUUGAUGACCUGUGAGGUCGGUGUAUCCUGAGGGGUAAGAUUGUCAGCUAGUGGCUGACAGUAGUUCCAGAUUAUAGUGAUAUAUUCCGGUGACUUAUUGGUUGAUUCUUGCAUCUAUACUUUAGUUGACCCAUCGAGCAGUAUUUCCAUACCUUUGAGAGGAUGCUGAGUCGUUCCAUCCUAGUUGACCUGAGUGGUCGGUUCUUGUACUUCCUUACAGUUGGAUGACCUUUUGGUCGGUUAGCCCCGAGGGGCGGUGAUUGUCGGCUGGUUGCUUACGGUUGGCUAUUGAUCAUAUCCGCAUUGAUCGCCACAGCUCGAGUGCAUUUCACGUACACCAGCGGGUUGAUCCCCCGCAGGAGGGUGUUCUUUUCCGAAAAAGUGGUCGUACAUCCGACCCGUGAGCCCAGCGGUGUUCACUUUGUGCUGGGGUUACAUGCCAGAUGUGAGCAUGUAGUGGCUUUUGCCUGAGGUCCUUAGACCGACACGGCGGUUUCGAUUGGGUAUAUUUGGACUUCUUGUCCGGUUGACGCAUAUAGCUAUAGUAGCGAUUGUUGCUUAUAUACCUUCAAUUCUUUCGUUACAUUGUCUUGCUACUAUAGUUUCGUUGCAUGUAUACUUUCAGUUGUUCAUUACAGUAGCGGUAGUUGUACUUUCUUUCAUAUAUAUAUAUAUAUAUCUUUCGUUUAUUAUUGUUGCUACUGUAUUUACACUGACCGUAUUGUUGUUUAGCUCUUCCUGAUCCGAUGAGUACUCCUCGCCUUCAUCGGCUUGCGGCACCCACUGGGGGGGGACAUGUUUACUUAUUCUCAUAUCCCCACCAUUUUUCAGGUAUUGCAGGCGAUGAGUAUUGGACGAGACGUUAGGUACGUCGUAGCGGUCGAUAGAAGCUUCGACCCAGGUUAUUCGGUUUAGUUUCUUCCUUACUAUUCUAUUGAUACAGCUUAGACAGUUUAUUUAUGGUUCAGUAUUUUAUACAACUGAAUAUUGAGAUUUCAGUGGUUUUAUGAAUGAAUAAAGAAUUAUGGUCGGUUUUCAUAAAAUGGAAAGGUUUUCUACCCUCGUGGUAGUGUGUUUUAAAAAGAAAAGGUUUCCGUGUGGGAAACAGCCUUUCAAAAGAGUUUUCUCGUGUUUUCUUGAUUAGUAUUUCAAAAUAAAUUUCCGGGUAGGAAACGUUCAACUGAUAGUUGUGGAUUAUAUUCAGAUCUCUGUUUAUGAACCUGUGGUGAAUGGUAUAUAGAUAUUGAAUGUAUGGCGACUUGUAUAUUCAUUUAGUGGUGGGUUGUAUCCUGGUUUAUCCUCUUGUACUUGUGUGACGCCGGUGCAAAUCAGGGAAGCUCUGUCCGUGUGAACAUGGAUUUCUGUAUUUGUGGCGGAUCUGGCAUACCCUGGGGUCAGAGUUUUCAAAAAAAAAAAAUUCCGCUGUGGUUUUAACCUAAAAGGGGACCCCGGGGCGUGACAUCCGUGCUCCUGAGCGUUUUCAAUGAUGAAAUUUUCGAAUCGAUGAUCGCUCCGUAUGACUUGAAUCUAGGGGUAUAUGAAGUUUCUAGAAAAUAAUUUUUGCGAUUUUUUGAUAUCAUUAUUCUAGUGAUCGGAAAGAAUUCAAAUCCAUAAUUUUUAAUGAUUGAUAUCUGCCGUUUUCAAGUUUAACGGUGUAAAAGUAUUCAAAUCAGGUAUGAAAUUUUGAUAUAAAUUUUUUAUACUAUUUACAAACAGAUCAAUAUUUCUGAUCGAAAAAUUUUUGUGUAUAUCCCACUUUUUAUAGAAUUUUUAUUUUCAGCCGUUAUAAAAAUUAUUGAUUUUUGAAAUCCUUUCGAUUGCUAGAUAAAUGAUAUCGAAAAAUCACAAUAAUUAUUUUUUAGAAACUUCAAAAUACGCUAGAUCAUGUCUAACGGAGCCGAUCAUGAUUCGGAAAUUCCAUCAUAAAAAACGCUCAAGAGCACCGAGGGCUCUGUGCUCCUGAGAGCACAAGGGUCCUGCUCUUAUAUAUAUAUAUAGAGUUGAGUGUAGAUACUCUCAAAAGCACCAUGGGUGGUGCUUUUGAGUUUUUAGCCAUUGGAUGGAGAGAUGUGAGGUUGAGAUGCAUGGUGGUAGGUGGUGUAGUGGGUGGUAGGUGGAAUAGUGUUUGAUC